NNAGGUGAUUCUAGCGAAGUGGUCCCACCCGUUCCCAUCCCGAACACGGCAGUGAAACGCUUCAGCGCCGACGAUACUGCUCGGGCAACUGGGUGGGAAAAUAGGUCAUCGCCCACU
RNAcentral lists this ribosomal RNA (117 nucleotides) under Dehalococcoidia bacterium. Lineage: Bacteria; Bacillati; Chloroflexota; Dehalococcoidia. The record is from RNAcentral.